AUGAACGCUAGCUACAGGCUUAACACAUGCAAGUCGUACGAGACGAUUGAAAGCUUGCUUUUGAAAGUCGAGUGGCAAACGGGUGAGUAACGCGUAGACAACCUGCCGUAAAGAUGGGGACAACAGUCCGAAAGGACUGCUAAUACCGAAUGUUGUCGAACUUCCGCAUGGAAGUUCGACUAAAGAUGGCCUCUACUUGUAAGCUAUCGCUUUACGAUGGGUCUGCGUCUGAUUAGAUAGUUGGUGGGGUAACGGCCUACCAAGUCGACGAUCAGUAGCCGGUCUGAGAGGAUGAACGGCCACAUUGGAACUGAGACACGGUCCAGACUCCUACGGGAGGCAGCAGUGGGGAAUCUUCCGCAAUGGGCGAAAGCCUGACGGAGCAACGCCGCGUGAGUGAAGAAGGUCUUCGGAUCGUAAAGCUUUGUUGUCGGGGACGAAUGUUGAGGCCUAGAACAUAGGUUUCAAAUGACGGUACCUGACGAGGAAGCCACGGCUAACUACGUG
Molecule: ribosomal RNA, 507 nt
Filed under: uncultured bacterium
Lineage: Bacteria
Description: bacterial SSU rRNA
Rfam family: Bacterial small subunit ribosomal RNA
Source: RNAcentral